AGUAUUAGUUAAGGACUUUAAACCCAAAGAAUUUGGCGGUAUCUUAUUCCAUUCAGAGGAACCUCUCCCAUAAUUGAUAAUACACGAUUAACUUUACUUAAUUUAUUUGUUUGUAUAUCUCCGUUAUCAGAAGAUCUUUUUAGAGUUAUAAUUUUCUAGAUUUAUAAUUUUGAAGUAUUUCAGGUCAAGGUGCAGCUUAUAAUUAAGAGGAGAUGGGUUACAAUAAAUUUAAUUUAAACGGAUUUGGUAAUAAAAAUUGUUAAUGAAGGUGGAUUUGAUAGUAAUUUAAUUUAUUUAAUUUAAUUGAUAUUGGCUCUAAGGUGUGU
RNAcentral lists this ribosomal RNA (326 nucleotides) under Lithoscirtus daedalus. Its description in RNAcentral is "partial 12S ribosomal RNA". Lineage: Eukaryota; Metazoa; Arthropoda; Insecta; Orthoptera; Acrididae. The record is from RNAcentral.